AUUUGGGAAAUACAUUUUAAAUGUAACCUUAUUUUUUAUAAGUAAUUACAUAGGUAUGCCAUUAGAAAUAAAAUUUAAAUAGU
This 83-nucleotide small RNA is filed under the name Arabidopsis thaliana (thale cress). Its description in RNAcentral is "ATSL221320". The record is from RNAcentral. Lineage: Eukaryota; Viridiplantae; Streptophyta; Magnoliopsida; Brassicales; Brassicaceae.